RNAcentral lists this ribosomal RNA (461 nucleotides) under uncultured bacterium. Its description in RNAcentral is "partial 16S ribosomal RNA". It matches the Rfam family "Bacterial small subunit ribosomal RNA", at positions 338 to 795 of the family's 1533-position model. The record is from RNAcentral.
CCUACGGGUGGCUGCAGUGAGGAAUAUUGGUCAAUGGCCGGAAGGCUGAACCAGCCAAGUCGCGUGAGGGAAUAAGGCCCUAUGGGUCGUAAACCUCUUUUGUCAGGGAGCAAAGGCGUCCACGUGUGGACGAGAGGAGAGUACCUGAAGAAAAAGCAUCGGCUAACUCCGUGCCAGCAGCCGCGGUAAUACGGAGGAUGCGAGCGUUAUCCGGAUUUAUUGGGUUUAAAGGGAGCGUAGAUGGGUUGUUAAGUCAGUUGUGAAAGUUUGCGGCUCAACCGUAAAAUUGCAAUUGAUACUGGCAGUCUUGAGUACAGUUGAGGUAGGCGGAAUUCGUGGUGUAGCGGUGAAAUGCUUAGAUAUCACGAAGAACUCCGAUUGCGAAGGCAGCUUACUAACCUGCCACUGACAUUGAUGCUCGAAAGUGUGGGUAUCAAACAGGAUUAGAUACCCCUGUAGUC